Long non-coding RNA from Cyprinus carpio (common carp), 1126 nucleotides. The record is from Ensembl. NCBI's taxonomy places the organism in Eukaryota, Metazoa, Chordata, Actinopteri, Cypriniformes, Cyprinidae.
CCUCGGGAGGUUUUCAUAAAGAUGACUGCACAAAUGAACCAGUUAACAGCACACAUGCACAACUUGAAGACAUAUAGGCUAUACAGUACGCACGUGCGCAAACACAACGAAUAACGUUUAAAUCGUUUGCACUAUCAUCAGUUAUGUUAUAGUCUCCCAGUUUAAUGCAGAGGAAAGACACAGGUAACAUUGAGGUAGAGAGGGAGGACAUUGAAAAAAGACUUAGUAAUCAUACUAUGACUUGCAUUUUUAAUUAAUUCGAAAUACUAGCAAACAUACGCUGCAGUCUUCUCUGAUGAAAACCAAUUCAGCUAAUAGUAAUGAAUUAUUUUAACAUAUUUGAAUUAUGAUUUAUUAAAAAGCAGCAUACUGCGUAACUUAAGACAAUGUUAUCUUAAAUCCCAUUAUGGCAAACAUGUGUCCAUAUCGCAGUAUUCAGUAUGUUCUACACUCUGGUAAAACUCCUUUUAGCACACACCCUGUGUAGUUAUUUGUGCAUUGUCCAAAGUGACUGAAGAGUCAUUUAUUGUCAGUCCUUUUUGUGAGUAUUGGAAAACAAAUCAGUCAUGUUAGGUUUUGUUUAUUAGCACAAUAUUUGAAACAAACACCAUAAUUCAUCCAUCAACGUGAUGUGAGGAUUCAUUCUUUCUAAGCAUCACAGUCACAUUAUGGCAUACAGAGGCCAAAAUAACCGGUUCGCAUUGUCUCACAAAAAGUAAACACCAUGGCUUCAAGGAUCAGUUUGGCCACAGUUUUCAAGUUCCUGUCAUGGGAGUAUAUUUCAAGGGAAUGCUUCAUGCAACUAUUCGUCUUCAUCCCUUUACCAAAUGACAAUGCAUCCCUUUAUAAAAAUGCUGGCGGAAAUGUACAGCACGGAAGGGAACAUGAACUUGGUGGACUUCAUGCACAGCGAAUUCUCAUCCUUUUGGAGUGCACGGUGACCACUGAGCAUGCGCAGUGCUUUGCGGAACCCAGUGUUGUGAGUCUUGCCUAUGAGAGACUUUUCCGUCAGCCUUUGGACUCCUACAGAGGGGAACGGCCAUGGCUGCCAGUCAACGGAUGGCAAGUGGACGGGACGGUCCCGUCGACGCAGGUGUCACUGAAGAUCCUGCUGGACAUCAGAUAG